RNAcentral lists this ribosomal RNA (327 nucleotides) under uncultured eukaryote. RNAcentral describes it as "partial 18S ribosomal RNA". It matches the Rfam family "Eukaryotic small subunit ribosomal RNA", at positions 1470 to 1796 of the family's 1831-position model. The record is from RNAcentral.
CCCCUAGAUGUUCUGGGCCGCACGCGCGCUACACUGACGAAUGCAACGAGCUCAUAACCUUGGCCGAAAGGUCUGGGUAAUCUCCAAAUUUCGUCGUGAUGGGGAUAGAUUAUUGCAAUUAUUAAUCUUCAACGAGGAAUGCCUAGUAAGCGCAAGUCAUCAGCUUGCGUUGAUUACGUCCCUGCCCUUUGUACACACCGCCCGUCGCUCCUACCGAUUGAAUGGUCCGGUGAAGCGUUCGGACCGUGGCCUUUGGACGGUUCGCCGUCUGUUGGCUGCGGGAAGUUCGUUAAACCUUAUCAUUUAGAGGAAGGAGAAGUCGUAACA